GACGAACGCUGGCGGCGUGCCUAACACAUGCAAGUCGAGCGACGAACCAGGGCUUGUUCUGGGGUUAAGUAGCGAACGGGUGAGUAACACGUGGGUAACCUACCCCGAUAACCGGGUCAACUCGCGUAAACUCGGGCUAAUACCGGACGUGUUCUCUGGUCUUCGGUUUAGUGCGUUAAGGAAGUUUCGUUUUCCGUUUCGGGAGGGGUCCGCGGCCCAUUAGUUUGUUGGUGAGGUAACGGCUCACCAAGACCGCGAUGGGUAGCUGGACUGAGAGGACGAUCGGCCACACUGGAACUGAGACACGGCCCAGACUCCUACGGGAGGCAGCAGUAGGGAAUCUUGCGCAAUGGGCGAAAGCGUGACGCAGCAACGCCGCGUGAGGGAAGAAGGCCUUCGGGUUGUAAAACCCUGUCAGGAGGGACGAAGAUACGGCGAUGAAUAGCCGUCCGGACUGACGGUACCUCCACAAGAAGCCCCGGCUAACUACGUG
RNAcentral lists this ribosomal RNA (493 nucleotides) under uncultured bacterium. RNAcentral's name for it is "partial 16S ribosomal RNA". It matches the Rfam family "Bacterial small subunit ribosomal RNA", at positions 28 to 507 of the family's 1533-position model. The record is from RNAcentral.